This 28-nucleotide ribosomal RNA is filed under the name Wolinella sp. enrichment culture SL2 clone SL2-ITS. Its description in RNAcentral is "partial 16S ribosomal RNA". The record is from RNAcentral. Lineage: Bacteria; Pseudomonadati; Campylobacterota; Epsilonproteobacteria; Campylobacterales; Helicobacteraceae.
GGUGAACCUGCGGUUGGAUCACCUCCUU